UACAGAGGGUGCAAGCGUUAAUCGGAAUUACUGGGCGUAAAGCGUGCGUGGACGGUAGCGUAAGUCAGAUGUGAAAGCCCCGGGCUCAACCUGGGAACUGCAUUUGAGACUGCUCUGCUCGGGUGCGGAAGAGGGAAGCGGAAUUUCCGGUGUAGCGGUGAAAUGCGUAGAUAUCGGAAGGAACACCAGUGGCGAAAGCGGCUUCCUGGUCCGACACUGACGUUCAGGCACGAAAGCGUGGGGAGCAAACAGGG
RNAcentral lists this ribosomal RNA (254 nucleotides) under uncultured bacterium. RNAcentral describes it as "partial 16S ribosomal RNA". It matches the Rfam family "Bacterial small subunit ribosomal RNA", at positions 524 to 777 of the family's 1533-position model. The record is from RNAcentral.